This 492-nucleotide ribosomal RNA is filed under the name uncultured bacterium. RNAcentral's name for it is "partial 16S ribosomal RNA". It matches the Rfam family "Bacterial small subunit ribosomal RNA", at positions 29 to 507 of the family's 1533-position model. The record is from RNAcentral.
AGUGAACGCUGGCGGUAGGCCUAACACAUGCAAGUCGAACGGCAGCACAGUAAGAGCUUGCUCUUACGGGUGGCGAGUGGCGGACGGGUGAGGAAUACAUCGGAAUCUACUUUUUCGUGGGGGAUAACGUAGGGAAACUUACGCUAAUACCGCAUACGACCUACGGGUGAAAGCAGGGGAUCUUCGGACCUUGCGCGAUUGAAUGAGCCGAUGUCGGAUUAGCUAGUUGGCGGGGUAAAGGCCCACCAAGGCGACGAUCCGUAGCUGGUCUGAGAGGAUGAUCAGCCACACUGGAACUGAGACACGGUCCAGACUCCUACGGGAGGCAGCAGUGGGGAAUAUUGGACAAUGGGCGCAAGCCUGAUCCAGCCAUACCGCGUGGGUGAAGAAGGCCUUCGGGUUGUAAAGCCCUUUUGUUGGGAAAGAAAAGCAGCAGGUUAAUACCCCGCUGUUCUGACGGUACCCAAAGAACAAGCACCGGCUAACUUCGCG